This 292-nucleotide ribosomal RNA is filed under the name uncultured bacterium. RNAcentral describes it as "partial 16S ribosomal RNA". The record is from RNAcentral.
GGACUACAGGGGUAUCUAAUCCUGUUUGCUCCCCACGCUUUCGCGUCUCAGCGUCAGUACCGUCCCAGCGAGCUGCCUUCGCCAUUGGUGUUCCUCCUGAUAUCUGCGCAUUUCACCGCUACACCAGGAAUUCCACUCGCCUCUUCCGGACUCUAGCCCGACAGUAUCCGCCCGCCUCCCGGGGUUGAGCCCCGGGCUUUCAGAGCGGACUUACCGAGCCGCCUACACGCUCUUUACGCCCAAUGAUUCCGGACAACGCUUGCCCCCUACGUAUUACCGCGGCUGCUGGCAC